RNAcentral lists this ribosomal RNA (874 nucleotides) under uncultured Thermoplasmatales archaeon. Its description in RNAcentral is "bacterial SSU rRNA". It matches the Rfam family "Archaeal small subunit ribosomal RNA", at positions 1 to 882 of the family's 1478-position model. The record is from RNAcentral. Lineage: Archaea; Methanobacteriati; Thermoplasmatota; Thermoplasmata; Thermoplasmatales.
UUCCGGUUGAUCCUGCCGGCGGCCACCGCUAUUGGAAUCCGAUUAAGACGUGCGAGUCGAGAGUCUUCGGGACUCGGCGGACUGCUCAGUAACACGUGGAUAACAUGCCCUUGGGUGGGGGAUAACCUCGGGAAACUGAGAAUAAUACCCCAUAGGUCUAGGAUGCUGGAAUGCUUCUAGGCCGAAAGCUCCGGCGCCCAAGGAUUGGUCUGCGGCCUAUCAGGUAGUAGUGGGUGUAACGGACCCACUAGCCUGCGACGGGUACGGGCCUUGGGAGAGGGAGCCCGGAGAUGGACUCUGAGACACGAGUCCAGGCCCUACGGGGCGCAGCAGUCGCGAAAACUUCGCAAUGGGGGAAACCCCGACGAGGAGAUUCCAAGUGCCAGCACACUGUGUUGGCUGUUCUCCUGUCCAAAAAGCAGGAGGAGUAAGGGCCGGGUAAGACGGGUGCCAGCCGCCGCGGUAAUACCCGCGGCCCGAGUGGUGGUCGAUUUUAUUGAGCCUAAAACGUCCGUAGCCGGCCUGGUAAAUCCUUGGGUAAAUCGGGCAGCUUAACUGUCCGAAGUCCGGGGAGACUGCCAGGCUUGGGACCGGGAGAGGUCAGAGGUACUUCCGGGGUAGGGGUAAAAUCCUGUAAUCCUGGAAGGACCACCGGUGGCGAAGGCGUCUGACUAAAACGGAUCCGACGGUGAGGGACGAAGCCCUGGGGCGCAAACGGGAUUAGAUACCCCGGUAGUCCAGGGUGUAAACGCUGCGGGCUUGGUGUUGGGAGUCCUCUGAGGGCGCCCAGUGCCGGAGAGAAGUUGUUAAGCCCGCUGCUUGGGGAGUACGUCCGCAAGGAUGAAACUUAAAGGAAUUGGCGGGGGAGCACAAU